GACGAACGCUGGCGGCGUGCUUAACACAUGCAAGUCGAACGGUGAAGCGCCUUCCUUUUUGGUGGGUGUGGAUGAGCGGCGAACGGGUGAGUAACACGUGAGUAACCUUCCCCCUCCUUCUGGAUAACCGCAUGAAAGUGUGGCUAAUACGGGAUAUAUUGGGUCUGUCGCAUGAUUGGUCUGGGAAAGAUAUUGUUUCGGUGGAGGAUGGGCUCGCGGCCUAUCAGCUUGUUGGUGAGGUGAUGGCCUACCAAGGCGGCGACGGGUAGCCGGCCUGAGAGAGUGGACGCUCAGGCUGGGAGUGAGGCUCGAGCCAGCCACGUGAGGGAGGAGGCGGGAAGGAAUCGUGAAGGGCGGGAGCAAGCCGGAUGCAGGGACGGCGAGUGAGGAAUGGAUGCGUUCGGGUUGUGAAUCUUUUUCGGGAGUGAAGAAGGCCUGCGUCGUUUGUGGGUGGUUGGACGGUAGCUAGCUAAGAAGCACCGGCUAAUUACGU
RNAcentral lists this ribosomal RNA (493 nucleotides) under uncultured bacterium. RNAcentral's name for it is "partial 16S ribosomal RNA". It matches the Rfam family "Bacterial small subunit ribosomal RNA", at positions 28 to 506 of the family's 1533-position model. The record is from RNAcentral.